AUUGAACGCUGGCGGCAUGCCUUACACAUGCAAGUCGAACGGUAACAGGUCUUCGGAUGCUGACGAGUGGCGAACGGGUGAGUAAUACAUCGGAACGUGCCUAGUAGUGGGGGAUAACUACUCGAAAGAGUGGCUAAUACCGCAUGAGAUCUACGGAUGAAAGCAGGGGAUCGCAAGACCUUGUGCUACUAGAGCGGCCGAUGGCAGGUUAGGUAGUUGGUGGGAUAAAAGCUUACCAAGCCGACGAUCUGUAGAUGGUCUGAGAGGACGAUCAGCCACACUGGGACUGAGACACGGCCCAGACUCCUACGGGAGGCAGCAGUGGGGAAUUUUGGACAAGGGGCGAGAGCCUGAUCCAGCAAUGCCGCGUGCAGGAUGAAGGCCUUCGGGUUGUAAACUGCUUUUGUACGGAACGAAAAGCCCCGGGUUAAUACCCUGGGGUCAUGACGGUACCGUAAGAAUAAGCACCGGCUAACUACGUGCCAGCCGCCGCAGUAA
Molecule: ribosomal RNA, 498 nt
Filed under: uncultured bacterium
Lineage: Bacteria
Description: partial 16S ribosomal RNA
Rfam family: Bacterial small subunit ribosomal RNA
Source: RNAcentral